UACGUAGGGUGCAAGCGUUAAUCGGAAUUACUGGGCGUAAAGCGUACGCAGGCGGCUAUGUAAGACAGGUGUGAAAUCCCCGGGCCUAACCUGGGAACUGCAUUUGUGACUGCAUAGCUAGAGUCUGUCAGAGGGGGGUGGAAUUCCACGUGUAGCAGUGAAAUGCGUAGAGAUGUGGAGGAACACCGAUGGCGAAGGCAGCCCCCUGGGAUAAGACUGACGCUCAUGUACGAAAGCGUGGGGAG
RNAcentral lists this ribosomal RNA (245 nucleotides) under uncultured bacterium. RNAcentral describes it as "partial 16S ribosomal RNA". It matches the Rfam family "Bacterial small subunit ribosomal RNA", at positions 524 to 768 of the family's 1533-position model. The record is from RNAcentral.